Molecule: long non-coding RNA, 629 nt
Organism: Dendrobium catenatum
Lineage: Eukaryota; Viridiplantae; Streptophyta; Magnoliopsida; Asparagales; Orchidaceae
Exons: 2
Source: RefSeq, a predicted model, not a curated record
GGAGAAGUAAAUUAUUUAUGCCAGUUUCAUCACCCUAACCUUGUCAAGCUGAUUGGCUACUAUCUAGAAGAUGACCAUCGCCUUCUGGACUAUGAAUUUUUGCAAAGAGAGGGUCUUGAGAACCAUCUGUUCAGAAAAUAUGUGAUUACUAAAUUACUUCAAUGUUGGAGCUGGAGGAUCAUGUUUUUAAUCAAUUUCCUAGAAACUUUGAAUGAAGAUUGCAGUGGGGGCUGCGAGAGAACUGGCAUUUCCGCAUGGUGCUAAAAUAUACGUCAUUUAUCGUGAUUUUAAGCUUUCUAAUAUACUACUUGAUUCAGUAUGUGGAGUUAUUAGCUAAAUUUCUACCUUUCUUUCCUGUCAGUGAUGUCAGUAUCGUUAUUCGUAAUUGCUUGUGAGGCAAUUGUUAAAGCAUGAAAGAAUAUAGACAUUGUAUGCCUGCUGGAUGUUGGCUAUUAUUAAGCUGCAAUGGCUAGUAAGGAGUUUCCAAUCCUUUUGUAUCAUACACUUUUUUUCCUGUGUAAUGCGAGUUAGUAGUAGAGGUGGAAGUUUGUAAACCUUUUUGGUUGCUUAAACAAUGUUAGAAGCCUGUAAGUUGAGAUUCCCCUAUCAAUUCUUUAUGAUUGUCAUUA